RNAcentral lists this ribosomal RNA (253 nucleotides) under uncultured bacterium. RNAcentral describes it as "partial 16S ribosomal RNA". It matches the Rfam family "Bacterial small subunit ribosomal RNA", at positions 524 to 776 of the family's 1533-position model. The record is from RNAcentral.
UACGAAGGGUGCAACCGUUGCUCGGAAUCAUUGGGCGUAAAGCGCACGUAGGCGGCUUCGCAAGUCGGAUGUGAAAUCCCUCGGCUCAACCGAGGACGUGCAUCCGAAACUGCGAGGCUUGAGUACAGAAGAGGAUCGCGGAAUUCCCGGUGUAGAGGUGAAAUUCGUAGAUAUCGGGAGGAACACCAGUGGCGAAGGCGGCGAUCUGGGCUGAUACUGACGCUGAGGUGCGAAAGCGUGGGGAGCAAACAGG